CUGCUGGAUCCAAAGAGGAAAAAGAGGUAGGGUCGGGAAGAGGAAGGCAAUCUGGGUGGUGAGAACAGAGGAGGAGGAUUUGAACACAUGAGCAAGAAUUGCAGAGGUUGGGUUGUGAUCUGAGUGCAAAAAAGGCCUGGAUAUAAGUAAUUUCUCCUCAUUUUUCCAGUCAUCAGCAAUAAUUGAUUAAGUCAGUUAAAAUUGUAAAGUCCAAUGUUCCGUUUGUGGGCCAUUUGGACCCAUUAUCCAAUUCGUAUUGUGGCCAGAUUGAAUUGUAAAACAAGACAAGGCACGGAUAUCUUGACUGAGGCCUGAGGUUUGUAGGUUUUUUUAUGAGGCAGCCUAGAAGGAUGUCCUUUGGAAUGGAAAACUUGAGAUUUCCCAUAACCGAGGUUAGGCUAGAGAGAACAGGGAAAAGGGGACCAUCCUGGGAAGCUGGAGGGAGAUGAUAAAAGGAGCGAUUGUCACCACUGCCUUUUUUGUUCCUAGAACGGGAUCAAAUGGCUUAGAGGCAUCCCCCUAAGACCAAAAGAUCAGCAAGUGCCUGGCACAUGCCAGAGCCUUCUUGGGCCAACAUUGGAUUUUUGGACUGGAGAGAGCAAGAGAGGCUGUGUGGAUUUUUCCCUGUUAACUGGGCUCCCAGGAUACUUACUGGUAGGUGAGAUCAGUGACCGAGGGGCAUGCACAGACAGGCGACUGGAGGCUGAGGAGCUUCUUUUGUCCAGCUGCUGUACCCAGAUGGCCUCCCUCUGGAUCUUCAGGGGGUAUGUGUCUUCCUGCCAACUGUUCCUGCUUCCGCUCUCUUGCUGACGCACGCUGCUGGUGCAAGGGGCUUUGUGCCUUUGGACUAGGCCUGUGGAAGGAGGAGUUAUUCAUUCCCUUAAGUUUUCGGGAGAAUCUUUCAGGGAUAUAAAACAUUCUUAUUGGGGUUGCUGCUGGGUCCUCAGAUAUCAGUGAGGGAGAAAAGUGCACCGUUUAGGUUCCAUCUGAAUGCUUCAUCAGCUCUCUGAAGAACAUAAUUUUAAAAUCCCCACUGAAAAAGGAUGGAAUUAAUAGCCUGGAAUAAUUUAGAAAGAUGUGUAUGUAAAGGAAUUAAUUCAAAGAAAUGUGUCUUCUAGAAUGCUAAAGAGACAGUAUUUAAAUAGACUGCUAGAAAUUACAAAACAUGGGCAUCAUAUGUGGCUUGAACUUUGCAUAAAACAUGUUUUUCAUGAUUAGAUUCAGAUUAUAAUUUAUGUUUUUUGCCGGGCGCGGUGGCUCACCUCUGUAAUCCCAGCAAUUUGGGAGGCCGAGGCGGGCGGAUCAUGAGGUCAGGAGAUCGAGACCAUCCUGGCUAACACGGUGAAACCUCGUCUCUAAUAAAAAUAUAAAAAAUUAGCCAGGCAUGGUGACGGGCGCCAGUAGUCCCAGCUACUCGGGAGGCUGAGGUAGAACAAUGGCGUGAACCCGAGAGGUGGAGCUUGCAGUAAGCCAAGAUCACGCCACUGCACUCCAGCCUGGGUGACAGAACGAGACUCCAUCUCAAAACAAAUAAAUAAAUAAUAAUAAUUUAUGAUUUUUGGCCAGUAAUCUCACAGAAGUCAUGUUGCAUCCUCAUAUAUGCAUCCGCACCUGAUGCCAAUCUGUCCAUUUUAUUCACUUGGUUAGCAUGUUUCCUGAAGGAAUUCUUCACUUUAAAAUUACUUUCUAAAAACUGUAUUAUUAACAGGUAUUUUCGAGAGACUUUCUGACUAAUGUGCAGAAACAAUCACAUUUAAUCUGAAAGCUCCCCUGUCAUGCUAAGUGUCAGGUUCCAGCCCAAGCUGAGGUCUGAUAGAAGUCAGUGGGCGAGUGGUGGGUUGCUGGAAAAACACUCGAGGAAUUGUGGGCAGUUUUGAUAUGGCUUUAUUAUCUCUCUGGGCAGAAGCCUGGGCAUGAGCCAUGUGUGCAGGGUCAGCGGCUUUACUCUCUCUCUUCCCCUCCUGUCUACCUGUCUGUGUACUCCUUACACACGAUAGUGGCUCAAAGCCAAGUAUGAGCUUACAGAACUAGGUUACAUAAUGAGCAGAAUUGUGCACCUGCACUCAAACUCACUGAGUCAUGCUGAACCAGAUGUUUACCUCAGCUUAUUAUUGACCACAGCACAUCCAUUUUUCUUACAUCCCUUAUCUUAAUAGUUUCUCUUGUUUAUAUCUUGCUUUGGAAAAUGAAGGCUGUCAUCUUUGUUCACUGGUCAUAUACAUGGGGACAAAACCCAGGUUCUAUCACUAGAUGUUUUACAAACUAUUUUCCUUAAGUUAGAAUCAUUUAUGUCAUUGGUGAGUUUGUUAGCAAUGCAGUAACUCAGGUCUCAUCUCAGAUCUCUUGAAUUGGAAUCCAUAUUUUAACAAAAUCUGCAGCUCAUUGAUAUAUACGUUAAAAUUGGAGAGGUACCUUCUAACUUACUGUGACUUCUCCAUAUGAGAACUGGACAGAACUUACUGUGUAUAAUGUAAAUAUGGCACUCAAAACUGUAUAUGCUUGUGUUUAUGCCAUAAAUUUUAUGCUGUAUUAUUCAGAAAACUACAGUACCUACAGUGGUUUUGUGGAUCUUUUUUCAUUUUCUUUCCUCAGAAUGCAAAAAUAUAUUACAGAAUCUUUCUCUAUUUAACAAUAUUUUAUUGGAUAAUUCCAGUCUCUGUAACUCUCAAACACCUAGAGUAAAAUUAACAAUUCUGCCCAUGGCCAUUUGCUAAAUAUGUGUGGGUGUUUGGGUUUGUUUAGGAAAUGUUAACAUUCAAGGCUUUGGCCAUAGAAUUCUCUCAAGAGGAGUGGGAAUGUCUGAAUCCUGCUCAGUGAAAUUUGUGUAGAGAUGCAAUGUUAGAGAACUAUAGAAACCUGGUCUCUCGGUGAGAAUAAAUAUACCCCAGAUUUUCUAAUAUACCAUCAGGCUUCUAUUUUCUCCCUUUGUAGAAUGAUUUUGGGAGGUUUUGCUCUGCAUAAAUUAUUUUUAGAUCAGUACUUUUAAGAAAAACUUGAAGGUUUAUUGGAAUAGAUAAGAAAAUCUUCAAGAUGUUUUAUCUUAAUAGGAACCUUCCCCUCUCUUGAGCUAAUCUGUAUCCUUCACUCUAGAUUAAUGAUAAUUCUAGAAAUUCAGUGGCAUUAAAUACUGUUGCACAAAUAUUAAAAUCCAAUAUCCAGCACUAAUUUUAUAUUCAGUAUUGGAUAGUAGAGCUAAGGACCCAGAAAUGUCACGUAUGUUUUAAAUAUUCAAAAGUUUCUGUCAGAAAACAGUAUUUUGGAAUUAAAUUUCUAGAAUCUUUCAUAAUAUUCUCUCCUCUCUACUGAACAUAGUACUAGGUUGGUAACUGGAGGAUCCCAGAAAGUCAUGCUAAUUUUUCUAACAAAACAGGCCUUGCUGUCUCUAACUCUGAUCUGAUAUCCUGCUUUGAGCAAAUAAAAGAGCCCUGGAAUGUGAAGAGACAUGAGACAGUAGUCAGCUUCUCAGGUAGGUAAGCAUGAAUGAAGCAGAUAACAGAGACGAGGGAUACGAAGGUCAGAAAGAAUUUCAGACCUUAAAAUGUGGUAUAGAAUGCUCUGCUUCCAUGGAAAGGUUUCCUAAAAAGCCAUUUAUUUCUCUAGCUCCCAAAUAGGAGCAUCUUUUGUCCCAUACCCUUAAAUUCUUUAAGGAUCCUACUUCCUAUUUAGUGAUUUUCCUUAGAGGGUACCGUGAGAGCUAAAGUCCUCUUUAUGGCUUAUAAGGUGCUGCAUGAUAUGCCUGCUCUUCCAUUGUUUUGGGGGAGUAUAAGAAUAUUUCUGAGUAUUUUAGAGGAACUGCAUGUUAGAUCAUUUAACGUUUCUUUUCCCAUCAUGUCUGAAAUGUGUAAGAGGAGUGGUGAUAUUAAGAUUUGUUUCAGAAAUCACAGGAACAUGAAUGACAGAUGUUACUUCUCUAUUUUUUUUUAAUAUUAGCAAUCCUAACAGAUUUCGAGUGAUAGCUCAUCAUUGUUUUCAUUUGCAGUUGCCUUUUGGUAGGUGAUAUUGAGCACUUUUUUAUAUAUCUAUUGGUCAUUUGUAUAUAUUUGUUGGCAAAAUAUUUUUUUCACUCUUUCAACCAUUUUUUAGUUGGAUUAUUAUUGUUAUUAUUAUACUUGCUUUUGCUUUGAAUUUUCUAUAUAUUUUGAAUAUUAAGCUUUUCUGAUAUAUACAGUUUGCUGUUGUGAGCAUGCUGCAAUAAAUGUGCAAGUAUACGUAUCAUUUUCAUAUAAUAAACUAUUUUUCUUUGGGUAGAUACCCAAUGAUGAGAUUUCUGAAUCAAAUGAUAGUUCUGGCCAGGCGUGGUAGCUCACGCCUGUAAUCCCAACACUUUGGGAGGUAGAGGCGGGCAGGUCAUGAGGUCAGAAGUUUGAGACCAGCCUGAGCGAUAUGGUGAAACCCCGUCUCUACUAAAAAUACAAAAGUUAGCCAGGCGUGGUGGCACUUGCCUGCAGCCCCAACUCCUCAGGAGGCUGACACAGAAGAAUUGCUUGAACCUGGGAGUCAGUGGUUGCAGUGAGCUGAGAUCGUACCACUGCACUCCAGCCUGGACAACUAAGACUCCGUCUCAAAAAAAAAAAAAAAAAUGGCAGUUUUAUUUUUAGUUGAGAUUGAGCAUUUUUUUCAUAUGCGUGUUGGCUAUUUGUAUGUCUUUAUUGAAAAAUGAUUAGUAAUGUUAUUUGCUCAAUUGUCAAUAGAAUUCUUUAUUAUUACUAUUAUUAUAUUUUUGAGUUGUUUGAGUUAUUUGUAAGUACUGAAUAUUAGUUCCAUGUUGGCACGUAGUUUGCAAAUAUUUUCUUUUAUUCUGUAGCUUGCAUAUUUACCCUGCUGAUUUUUUUUUCUGUGCCAAAACUUUUAGUUUGAUUUCCAUUUGUCUAUUUUUUAUAAUAAUAAUAUAAUAAAUAAUAAUUUAAUAAUAGUUUUCUUUGUUGUGUCCUUGGCUAGUUUUGGUAUCAGGGUGAUACUGACCUCUGAGUGACUUAGGAAGAGUUUUAUUAUCCUCAAUUUUUGGUAAGAGUUUCAGGAGGAUUAUUAUUGUUUGUACACUUGGUAGAAUUUUGCUGUGCAUUUAGUCCUGAGCUUUUCUUUGUCAAGACAUUUUUUUUUAUUGCUGACUCAAUCAUGCUACUCAGUAUUGGUUUGUUCAGGUACUCUAUUUCUUCCCGACUCUAUCUUGGGAGGUUGUUUGUUUCCAUGGAUUUAUUCAUUCUUUCUAGGUUUUCAGGUUUGUGAGUGUCUAGUUGUUUAUAAUCGUUUCUAGUGAUCUUCUGUAUUACUGUUGUAUCCAUUGUAAUGUCUGUUCUUUUAUAUCUGAUUUGUUUAUUUAGAUUUCUAUUCUAUUUGUGGUUAAUCUAGCUAGCAAUUUACCAAUUUUGUCUUUUUGAAAAACCAACUCUUUAUUCUGUUGGUCAUUUUUAUUGUUUUUGGACUUCAUGUCAUUUGGUUGUGUUCUGAUUUUUAUUUAUUUCCUCUUCUAACUUGGGAUUUGAUUUGUUAUUAAUUUUCUAGUUCUUUGAAAUGUGAUGUCAGGUCCUUAAUAUGUAAGCUUUCUAUUUUUUUGAUGCAGGCCUUUAGGCUAUUAACUUCCCUUUUAGUACUACAUUUGAUGUAUCUCACAGGUUUUAUUAUAUUGUGUUUCUAUUUCCAUCUUUUUUCCCACAAAUUUUUAAUUUUCAUCUUAAUUUUUUUUUUUUUUUUUUGAGAUAGGUUUUACACUGUCACCCAGGCUGGAGUGUAGUGGCACAGUGUUGGCUCACUGCAACUUCUGCCUUCCAGGCUCAAACGAUCGUUUUAUAUUAGCCUCCCGAGUAGCUAGGACCAUAGGUGCACACCACCACACCUAGCUAUUUUUUCAUAUUUUUUUUUGUAGGGACAGGGUUUUGCCAUGUUGCCCAGGCUAGUGUUAAACUUCUUACCUCAGGUGGUCCACCUGUCUCAGCCUCCCAAAGUGCUGGGAUUACAGGUGGGAGCCACCACCCCUGGUCAACCAUCAUAAUUACUUCAUUUACAUAGUCACUGUUGAGGAGUAUGUUAUUUAAAUUCUUUGUAAAUUUAUAGUUUCUGAAAUUUCUCUUGAUACUGAUUUGUAGUUUUAUUCUACUGUGGUCUAAGUAGGUAGUUCGUAUAAUUUUGAUUUGGGGGGAUACUUUGUUGAUUUGCCAGAUUUCCUAUCUCAAUGGUCUCUCUAAUGCUGUGAGUAGAAUGUUGAAUUUCUCCACUAUUAUUGUAUUACUGUCUAUCUCGUUCUAUAGAUUUAAUAAUAUUUCUUUGUAAAUCAGGGUGCUGUGAUGUUGGGUUCAUAUAUAUUUAGAAUUGUUAUAUCUUUUGGCUGAAAUGAUUUCUUUAUUAUUGGAUGAUGAUCUUUAUCCUUUUUUGUUACAGCUUUUUAAUUUAAAGUCUGUUUUAUUUGAUGUAAGUAUAGAUACUCCUAUUUACUUUUGGUUUCUGUUUGUGUUAAUAUAUUCCCCCCCAUUUGCCUUUAAUCUAUAUGUGUCUUACAAGUAAGGUGAGAUUUUUGUAGGCAACAUAGAUUUGCGUUAUUUUUUCUCAUUCAUUUCAUAAAUCUAUACUUUUUUUUUUUUUUUGAGACGGAGUCUUGCUCCAUCGCCAGGCUGGAGUGCAGUGGCGCGAUCUCGUCCCACUGCUCACUGCAACCUCUGCCUCCCCUAUUGAAGUGAUUCUCCUGUCUCAGCCUCCUGAGUAGCUGGGACUACAGGCACACACCACCACGCUCAGCUAAUUUUUGUAUUUUCAGAAGAGACGGGGUUUCAUCAUAUUCACCAGGCUGGUCUUGAUCUCUUGACCUCGUGAUACCCUCACCUCACCCUCCCAAAGUGCUGGGACUACAGGCGUGAGCCACCGCACCCAACCAAAUCUAUACAUUUCAAUGAAGGAUUUAAUUUAUUUAUAUUCAAGGUAAAUAUUAAUAUGUAAGGUUUUGUUACUAUCAUAAUGUUAAUUAUUUUCUUGUCUUAUUUUUUUAUCUGUCUUUGUAGUUUAAUAAAAUUCUGUCAUGUUGUGAUUUGAUUUAUUUCACUUUGUUUUGUUUUGUAAGACCUGUUAGUUUUAUACUUUUAUAUAUUUUAAUAAUGGUGAAUAUCAAUCUCUUGUUUUUAUAUUAGAAUUUUUUUUAACAUCUUUCAUAGGCCCAGUCUAGUGGUAAUUAGUUUCCCCAGCAUUUAUUUGUCAGGGUAAGACUUUAUAUUCUUCAUUUGUGAAGGUUAUUCUAGCUUGAUAUAAAAUUUUUGGCUGGCAGUUUUCUUUUUUUUCAACACUCUAAAAGUGCCAUCCCAUUCUCUUCUGGUCAGUAAAGUUUCUGCUGAGAAGUCUGCUUUUAAUCUAAUGUGGUUUUCUUUAUAAAUUACUAGAUGCUUUUCUUUUGCUUAUUUUAGAAUUACUUCCUUCACUUUGACUUUAGAUAUUCUGAUUAUCAUGUGCCAUUAUGAUGUCUGUUUUGCAAUAUAUUUUGUUUAUAUUUUGUUGUAUUUUGUUUGCUGAGCUUCCUGUGUAUGUAUGUCUAAUUCUAUUGCUAGAGUUGGAAAGUUUUCAUCAAUUGUUUUCUUAAAUAGGUUUUCUAAACUUUUUGAUGUUUUUUCUUCCUCAGAAACACUGAUAAUUUUAAAGUUUAGUUACUUCAUGUAGUUGGAAACAAAGUCUUCAUUCUUUUUUAUUCUUUUCUCCUUAUUUUUGUCUGAGUGUAUUAUUUUAAAAGACCUGUUUAAAGGUUUGAAAAUUAUUUUUAUGUUUCUUCCAGUCUAUUAUUGAAUCUUUGAAUGUAUUUUCUUUUGCCUGCAAUAAAUCUUCAGUUCCAUAAUUUUUGUUUCAGUUUCUAUUAAAAGAUAUCUAUCUCCUUGGAACAUUUCCCAUUUGGACUCUAAAUUUAUUUAUUUAUUUUUGUACUGGUUUUCAGAUUUCUCUUGCCUCUCUUUGAGUUUCUUUAAAAUCUAUAUUUUGAAGUCUUUUUAAAGUAUUUUAAAGCCAUUUCAAUGAAUUUUUUUUUCUUAGAGUACUGGAGAAUUAUUGUGUUCCUUUGAAAGUGUCAUAAGCCUUGCUUUUCUGUGUUUCCUGUGUCUUUAUGUGUCUUUAUAUUGAUUUCUGCACAUCUGGAGAAAUAGUUGUUUCAUUUUAUUUUCGAAUUUACAUUCAUUGGAGGAAGUUUUUUUUUUUUUUUGAAGUUAUUACCAUAAUGUUUAUUGCAUAGGGCCAUGUGGCUUUACUUUUGGGUUUGUGCAGUGGGAAAGACUCUGUAUGAGUUUCUUCAGUAUAAACAAAUAUAUAUAUAUACACACACACAUACACACACACAUAUAUAUACAUGUCUGUGUAUGUGUGUGUUUAUAAAUACAUAUAUAUAUAAAACAAAUGUUUUAUUGGCUCGGGGUCAUCUUUUCUCUUAGGUUGAUUUUGAAUUCUAAGUCUAAGUCUAAGUCUCAGAAAACAAUAAAUUUAUCUUUGUUGUGUUGGUCAUUGAGGGCCAGCACACCUGACAUGAAAGAGUAAGAAGGUAGGGUGGGGUAGAUGGUGAGAAAUUACUUAAUAGUUAUAAUGUACAUUAUUCGAGUGAUGGAUACCAUAAAAGCCCUGACUUCACCACUAUGCAAUCUAUGCAUGUAACUAAAUUAUACUUGCACCCAACACAUUUGUAUA
RNAcentral lists this long non-coding RNA (8640 nucleotides) under Homo sapiens (human). RNAcentral's name for it is "non-protein coding lnc-ZNF91-4:5". Lineage: Eukaryota; Metazoa; Chordata; Mammalia; Primates; Hominidae. The record is from RNAcentral.